AAGGGAGACCUACCCGCAUUGAUGCUUGAACACAGACUGUUAUUAGAGCCAAUGUUGGUCAUCCCAAGGUCGUUCGAGUAUAAGUGUUGGCUUUCAAACUAGCUAGGUUUGGUUUAUGGGCUAUUAGCUCAGGUGGUUAGAGCGCACCCCUGAUAAGGGUGAGGUCCCUGGUUCGAGUCCAGGAUGGCCCACCUUGGAGGAGGGGGUUUAGCUCAGUUGGUAGAGCGCCUGCUUUGCAAGCAGGAUGUCAACGGUUCGAGUCCGUUAACCUCCACUGGGCUUUUAGCUUCAGUGCUAGAGUCCUGAGUGAUAACUUCAGCAACUUAUCUAGUGCUUUUAGCUAGAGUGCCUGCUGAAUUUAGUUUCAGCCAGAACCUUGAAAACUGCAUAGUAACUUGUCAGGUAGAAACAAGUGUUCAAUUUUCCACUGCUAGUGAGUGAUGGUGACAUUACUGUUU
This 458-nucleotide transfer RNA is filed under the name Stenomitos frigidus ANT.L64B.1. Its description in RNAcentral is "Leptolyngbya frigida ANT.L64B.1 partial 16S-23S ribosomal RNA intergenic spacer". The stretch from base 202 to 274 matches the Rfam family "tRNA". Lineage: Bacteria; Bacillati; Cyanobacteriota; Cyanophyceae; Leptolyngbyales; Leptolyngbyaceae. The record is from RNAcentral.